GGGACCGUGGUGUAGGGGUAAGCGUGGUUGUCCAUCACCCAAUCGGAUUGGGUUCGAUUUCGAACUGUCCCG
Molecule: transfer RNA, 72 nt
Filed under: Culex quinquefasciatus (southern house mosquito)
Lineage: Eukaryota; Metazoa; Arthropoda; Insecta; Diptera; Culicidae
Description: tRNA-Asp
Source: RNAcentral